ACAACUUCUCGCACUCCUUCAGGUUCAAAGCAAAAGCUUCAACUCUGCAAAGAAGCUGCCAAAGGGAUAUGUAGAAGAAUUGAGGAGUCUGGAGCUUGGGACGUGGCAUGAUCUGGCUCAUAUCUACAUAAACCUCUCACAAUGGCGUGACGCACAGUCAUGUCUCUCGAAAUCAAGACUCAUCGCACCUUACUCUUCUGUUCGAUACCACACCGAAGGUGUAUUGUACAAGAGGCAAGGGCAAAUAGAAGAAGCAAUGG
This is a non-coding RNA of Camelina sativa (false flax), 260 nucleotides long. Lineage: Eukaryota; Viridiplantae; Streptophyta; Magnoliopsida; Brassicales; Brassicaceae. The record is from RefSeq and is a predicted model, not a curated record.